UGAGGAAUAUUGGUCAAUGGGCGGAAGCCUGAACCAGCCAAGUAGCGUGAGGGAUGACUGCCCUAUGGGUUGUAAACCUCUUUUAUAAGGGAAUAAAAUACGGGACGUGUCCUGUUUUGCAUGUACCUUAUGAAUAAGGACCGGCUAAUUCCGUGCCAGCAGCCGCGGUAAUACGGAAGGUCCGGGCGUUAUCCGGAUUUAUUGGGUUUAAAGGGAGCGUAGGCGGAUUUUUAAGUCAGUUGUGAAAGUUUGAGGCUCAACCUUAAAAUUGCAGUUGAAACUGGAAGUCUUGAGUGCACGCAGAGGUGCCGGAAUUCAUGGUGUAGCGGUGAAAUGCUUAGAUAUCAUGAAGAACUCCGAUCGCGAAGGCAAGUGCCUGGAGUGCUACUGACGCUGAGGCUCGAAAGU
RNAcentral lists this ribosomal RNA (408 nucleotides) under uncultured Prevotella sp. RNAcentral describes it as "bacterial SSU rRNA". It matches the Rfam family "Bacterial small subunit ribosomal RNA", at positions 355 to 760 of the family's 1533-position model. Lineage: Bacteria; Pseudomonadati; Bacteroidota; Bacteroidia; Bacteroidales; Prevotellaceae. The record is from RNAcentral.